ACAUGAAGUCGGAGUUGCUAGUAAUCCCGAAUCAGCAUGUCGGGGUGAAUGCGUUCCCGGGUCUUGUACACACCGCCCGUCAAGCCAUGGGAGUUGGGAGUACCCAAAGUCGGUAGCCUAACCGCAAGGAAGGAGCCGCCUAAGGUAAUACCAAUGACUGGGGUUAAGUCGUAACAAGGUAAC
RNAcentral lists this ribosomal RNA (183 nucleotides) under uncultured bacterium. RNAcentral's name for it is "partial 16S ribosomal RNA". It matches the Rfam family "Bacterial small subunit ribosomal RNA", at positions 1318 to 1500 of the family's 1533-position model. The record is from RNAcentral.